RNA transcript from Lolium rigidum, 3070 nucleotides. RefSeq lists it as uncharacterized. The record is from RefSeq and is a predicted model, not a curated record. The transcript has 4 exons. NCBI's taxonomy places the organism in Eukaryota, Viridiplantae, Streptophyta, Magnoliopsida, Poales, Poaceae.
CCUCGACCCCUCGUCGCUCCCCUACAAUCGAAAUCGUUCCUCGAUCGAGAGAGCCGCGGCGGCGCGGGAGGUGCUAGACUGCUGGAGCACGGGGAAGGGGACGGAAGGAGGCACAGCAGCUGCAGAUGCCGGUGACGGGCAGCCAAAACAGGCUGCCGAGGCCGGCCAAGACCCAGACCAUCCACGGCCUCGUGCGCGCCGGCGACCUCACGGGCGUCCAGCGGAAGCUGCGGGAGAACCCCGCCCUCCUCAACGACAAGAACCCUGUGGUCCGUGCUUCUUGCGCUCCCCCAAUCCUCUCGUCCCGCAGGAGGAUUUCUUUAGCUUGGGCGAAUACAGAAUGCGCGCAGGAUCGAAUACAGAGGAAUGAACGAAGUGUCAAGCUAAGAGAAGAUGAACCUGGAGCUUCAGAAGGUGAGGGACAAGUUCAAGAUGUCCGAGAAUGCCUGGUUCUGCUUUAGUUCAAAGUAAAUAUCCUCCCUUCACUUGCAUAAUACUUUACAGAAUUAGAACACACCGACUUUGCUAAUAUCGAGUUUUCAUGCUGUCACUAUUCUAACAACCACAUUCCAAGGUGUGCUUCUUCAAUUGCUCGUCCACACGAAGUGUCAAAAAACCAGAACGGAUCAGGGCUGGUCUCAUUCUUCUGCAGAUUUCUUCGACAUACAUAGAUGAUGAUAGUUUUUACUCCCAUUGCAAUGAUUUCAGUUCCAGUUUCCGGCCAUAGUUUGUGCUUCUUUGGAAACCUUGUCUGAUGGUCUCAGGUCUCUAUCUUGUUCAAGACUCCCUAUCAGCAAUGCAAUUAUAUUUCCCGAGUAGAUCCUGCCAAUGCUUUGUUUGCUACCAGAUGACACAUACAGUGUUAGAGUUUGCUGAAUGUUCCCUUGUUGACUGAAUGCACAUGGCAAACAUGCCCUUUUCUUCUCCAAACUGGCGCUGAUUCACUAUGCGCCGUUGUUAUCCAAGCACUUCAUAGUUUAUGUGUUGCUUUCAUAUGCAACUAGGCUACCCAUUUAGAAGACUUUGGUUGUGCCAAGAAAAGAUGGAACAAGGGAAUUGGUUUCUCACAUACUCAAUUGGUUUAGGAGUGUGGUCGCUUAGAUGCAGUAUGUAAAAAUUCAGUUCACCCCUUAGAUGUUCAAACAGGCUAGCACAUACCAAUGUAAUGUUGCGCAAGACAGCUCAGGAGCUUCUCGCUGAAGGUUUAGGAGUAAAUGUCACGAUAUUUUCAUGAUAGCGCAGGAGCUUGCAGUGGAGUGCCACGAAAAGGAGACUAAUUGCAGCCACAUCUCAACUAUAGUGGUGAAAACUAUAGAGCAAUGUACUUAUGUAAAAAUCUGUAGUGUGGACCCUAAAAAAAGUAGAAUAUUAUUGUUUCUGUAAUACCAUGUGAUUAUUUUUUAUACAUGUAGAUUUUCACAUACAUUUUUCUAAUAUAUUACGAGAGAAAAUAAAAUCGAGCCGUAGCAGAGCACGGGUAUUCGAUGAUAUAUUUGUUGCAGGGAACUAUCAGAUUACUGUCAUCUCCCUUUUCUAAGUCCUGCUUGUUGAUUUGCUGAACCUCAGCAACAAUGGUAGCGACCUGGUUGUUGUGGAGGAAGACAAAAAGAGGUGCCUCAUGCCAUCCUGGUCAUGAGAUGGGCUUUGGGAAGUUGGACAAUGAUGAAAGUCGGUUAGCACCAGCGACAGAAGGCUGCUGAGGACGCUAGAGUCAGUUGUGAGUGGUGACUUGGAGGGUCAGAGAGAGAAAUGGGAUUAGCGCAGAACCGUCUGGUGCCACAAUACCCGUCAGUUCAAAUUUCUUUAUUGCAUUCGUCUGAAACUUUCUGAGACAAAUCAAUUACAAGAUAACAAGAAUCCGUUGUCAGUUGCUAUAAAGACAAGAGCAACAAAGCCAAGUCCAGGAUAAGCCUGUACUCUGAAGGUCUUGCUUCCCAAGCCAGGGAAGCAAUUGAUUCAUGCAUUAAUUUGACUAUGCAAUGAACAGAAAUAAAGCAGUCGAAUGGUAGCCAAGGUAGAUGAGAACAAUGAGACACACAUCGCCGUGUGUUGAUGGGUCAGUCAGAGGCCAUCCUAGCUAGGUCCUCCCAGUUUUAUGGUUCUACCCAUCAGUAAUGACUACAACAUUCUUGUCGACAACAUGCAUAAUCCACAGUGGUACAUUUUUUGGAGCACUGACAGGAACACAAGAACCCUAUCAGAGUACUUCGUCAACAUCAAGUUCCCCCAGUGUGCAACAGAUGCAAGGUAGCACCCUAUCCGAAACUCUGAAUGUAUAUUGCAGUUCUUAUGGACGGUUCUUCAGUCUCAUGUGGCUCGGAAACAUGGGCUUCAUGAUUAUUGGGAGAUUUCUGACUCUUCUAGCCGAGAUUUAGUGGUUUGUUCCAUACCCGAGUUGCAUACAUUGUAGAGGACUUUCAAUUGAUUCAAGGUAAAUUGAUGUUCUUUGCCUGAUCAUUACAGUUACUGCAUUUGAUUAAUGAAAUUACGAGGACAGCGAUACAUUUAGCAUCUUUCUCUCUGUGUUACUACCUAGACUUUCAGAUUGUCAAAGGAACUUAUUAGUUAAGCAAGAAAGUAAAGUACAUUAACAAUAAUUUUCCAACUUUAACAGACGUGAAGUUCUAGGAACUUUGGUUGGACUUAUAUUGCAAGUUGUCCCCUCUAUCACUGGUACUUCCACGUUCAUGGAUAGGUACUAGGUACUUCCCAUUUGAAAUCAUUUUUACUUGGCCGCAUAUGAACCAAACAAUCCUCCUGUGUAUAUCAUUUGCAUGUAUAGCCAGAUCUCAGAGAUGCUUGAGUACGACUCACAACGCGUGCUCAACCCGGAAAAUCUUCCUAGCCUGCUCAGUUCUAUAGAAAAUCUUCCUAGCCGUUCUAACUGUCAUGUGAGAUAAUAUAGGAGCGGCUCGAGCUUGCUGGCAACAAGGUUGACAGACUAGGAUGUGAGAUAAUAUAGAUUUUCAACUGUUUUCUAUAAUCAAUUUUAACUCCUAGAGAUAACAUAGCAUGGGCUAUGCUAUAAUUGAGCACGCGGCAUGUGCGACGACACAAAAAGUUAAGGGCC